UAGUCCACGCCGUAAACAAUGAGCACUAGUUAUAGCGGGUAUUAACCCCUGCUGUGACGUAGCUAACGCAUUAAGUGCUCCGCCUGGGGAGUACGGUCGCAAGACUAAAACUCAAAGGAAUUGACGGGGGCCCGCACAAGCGGUGGAUUAUGUGGUUUAAUUCGAAGCAACGCGCAGAACCUUACCUGGGCUUGAAAUCUGGAGAAUCUUGUAGAGAUACAGGAGUGCCCUUCGGGGAAUUCCAUGACAGGCGCUGCAUGGCUGUCGCCAGCUCGUGUUGUGAAAUGUUGGGUUAAGUCUCGCAACGAGCGCAACCCUUGUCCUUAUUUGCCAGCACAUUAUGGUGGGAACUCUAAGGAGACUGACGGUGACAAACCGUAGGAAGGUGGGGACGACGUCAAGUCAUCAUGGCCCUUACGGGUGGGCUACAAACGUGCUACAAUGGGGAGUACAAAGGGCUGCAAGCUGGCAACAGUGAGCGAAUCCCAAAAAACUAUCACAGUUCGGAUCGG
RNAcentral lists this ribosomal RNA (512 nucleotides) under uncultured bacterium. RNAcentral's name for it is "bacterial SSU rRNA". It matches the Rfam family "Bacterial small subunit ribosomal RNA", at positions 791 to 1301 of the family's 1533-position model. The record is from RNAcentral.